GGGGCAGUAGUUCAGCUGGGAGAACGCGUCGUUCGCAACGACGAGGUCAGGGGUUCGAAUCCCCUCUGCUCCACCA
RNAcentral lists this transfer RNA (76 nucleotides) under Candidatus Omnitrophota bacterium. Its description in RNAcentral is "Candidatus Omnitrophica bacterium tRNA-Ala". It matches the Rfam family "tRNA". From Rfam's summary of the family: Transfer RNA (tRNA) molecules are approximately 80 nucleotides in length. Their secondary structure includes four short double-helical elements and three loops (D, anti-codon, and T loops). Lineage: Bacteria; Pseudomonadati; Candidatus Omnitrophota. The record is from RNAcentral.